RNAcentral lists this ribosomal RNA (233 nucleotides) under Listeria monocytogenes. RNAcentral describes it as "partial 16S ribosomal RNA". It matches the Rfam family "Bacterial small subunit ribosomal RNA", at positions 1 to 222 of the family's 1533-position model. Lineage: Bacteria; Bacillati; Bacillota; Bacilli; Caryophanales; Listeriaceae. The record is from RNAcentral.
UUUAAAGAGAGUUUGAUCCUGGCUCAGGACGAACGCUGGCGGCGUGCCUAAUACAUGCAAGUCGAACGAACGGAGGAAGAGCUUGCUCUUCCAAUGUUAGUGGCGGACGGGUGAGUAACACGUGGGCAACCUGCCUGUAAGUUGGGGAUAACUCCGGGAAACCGGGGCUAAUACCGAAUGAUAAAGUGUGGCGCAUGCCACGCUUUUGAAAGAUGGUUUCGGCUAUCGCUUAC